GCCAGCAGCCAUAUCAAUCUGCCACUCGCAACCCGCAACCCACUGAAGCUAAGCAGGUGUGAGCCUGGUCAGUACCUGGAUGGGAGACCUCCUGGGAAAAACUAAGGUUGCUGCUGGAA
Molecule: ribosomal RNA, 119 nt
Organism: Lepisosteus oculatus (spotted gar)
Lineage: Eukaryota; Metazoa; Chordata; Actinopteri; Semionotiformes; Lepisosteidae
Source: Rfam